AGGACCCCAAGCUGGCCUGGCCACUAACCUUGAGCUUUUUCUAUUCCAGGACUCCGAAGGCGAGGCUCAGACUCAGCAAGUGGAGAAGAGGAGGCGGCCUCUGAGUUACAAAGACUGAACAUAAAGAAAGACGGUAAGGAAACGCUGUUCCCAAGCCCGUGUGCCCGGCUGCUCCAGGCUGCU
RNAcentral lists this long non-coding RNA (183 nucleotides) under Ictidomys tridecemlineatus (thirteen-lined ground squirrel). RNAcentral describes it as "lncRNA (ENSSTOG00000032274.1)". Lineage: Eukaryota; Metazoa; Chordata; Mammalia; Rodentia; Sciuridae. The record is from RNAcentral.